This 431-nucleotide long non-coding RNA is filed under the name Pan troglodytes (chimpanzee). Its description in RNAcentral is "long non-coding RNA NONPTRT003563". The record is from RNAcentral. Lineage: Eukaryota; Metazoa; Chordata; Mammalia; Primates; Hominidae.
GAGAGGAAUUCGUAGACAGAUAUAACAGUGUGCACUAGGCCUUCCAAUGAGGGGGAUGAGCAACAAUACCCCUCAGUUAAAUCGCAGCUUAUCACAAGGCACUCAGUUACCGAGCCACGUCACGCCAACAACAGGGGUACCAACAAUGUCACUUCACACGCCUCCAUCUCCAAGCAGGGGUAUUUUGCCUAUGAAUCCUAGGAAUAUGAUGAACCACUCCCAGGUUGGUCAGGGCAUUGGAAUUCCUAGCAGGACAAAUAGCAUGAGCAGUUCAGGGUUAGGUAGCCCCAACAGAAGCUCGCCAAGCAUAAUAUGUAUGCCAAAGCAGCAGCCUUCUCGACAGCCUUUUACUGUGAACAGUAUGUCUGGAUUUGGAAUGAACAGGAAUCAGGCAUUUGGAAUGAAUAACUCCUUAUCAAGUAACAUUUUUU